This 1902-nucleotide ribosomal RNA is filed under the name Triticum aestivum (bread wheat). RNAcentral describes it as "partial small subunit ribosomal RNA". The record is from RNAcentral. Lineage: Eukaryota; Viridiplantae; Streptophyta; Magnoliopsida; Poales; Poaceae.
AUGGGCAGCGGAGAGGGUCCCGUCUCGCCGCGGUCCACCUCCAGGCGCCACCGCCGGUCGUACGGCGACGGCGGGGACGAGGCCUCCUCCCCGAAGCGCCAGAAGCGUAGCCAUCACCACCGCCACCACGGCCACGGCCACGGGGACAGGGGAGACCAGCAGGCGGGCUCGCGGUCGCGGAUGUCGGCAGCGAAGCCGGGGGAGCGCGAGGUAGAGGAUGGUGAGAUAGUAGACGAUGCCGCCGCCGCCGCCUCCAGGGGGCCGGAUGCCGGCUUCGGCAAGGCGGGGUCGGUGUUCGGCGGUCUGGCACCUGCUCCGGGAUGUGAUGACAAAUUUGAUGCAAACAAGAAGUGUAGAGAGGCUAACCACAGAAAGAGAUCUGAGGAAAUCGAGGAACAAUCUUGCAAGGAGGAAGAUCAAAGUGAUUUCGAACACUUUGCAAAGCAAGAAGAAGAUGAUCUUAAAAAAACUAAGGAGGAAGCAAGAAAGAGGAUGGAUGCUAUUCUGGAGAAGCACCGGCAACGCCAGUUUCAGAAGGAACACCAGGGACCUGUGCCUUUCCAUGAUAGUACAGAAGUAACAUCACUGGAUAGAGAUGCUGCUACCACUGAAGUAAAAGAUGCCAAUUCAGUCACUGUAAUUGUUGAUGAAAAAUCCUACACUCUGGGGAUGACUCCUCCUAUCCAGCCUAACAUUUCAAUAAACUCGGGGAUAUCUGGUGAUCAAUGGACGGCAUGUGUUUCAGGUUUUCAAGAGGGCAUUCCUAAGGGUGAUAGAUCUUCAGAUAUACUUUGCGAUGAUAUUUUUGGAGCAUCUCCUAUUACAGUUCAGAAAUUGGGUAAUCUAGAUGGUAUGCAUGCCAGGAAAAAUUCACUUCGCGACAACUGGGAUGAUGAGCAUGGAUAUUACAAGUACCACUUAGGGGAAGUGCUAGAUGGUCAUUACAGAAUUACAGCAGGCUCUGGGAAGGGAGUUUUCUCAACAGUUGUCCAGGCAAAGGAUCUAAAAGCCAGGAAAAAUGAUCCUGAAGAAGUAGCUAUCAAAAUUAUCUGCAAUGAAAAAGAAAGGUACAAAUCUGGUAAGAGGGAGGUUUCUGUACUGGAAAAAUUGUCAAGUGCAGAUCGUGAAGACAAACGACACUGUGUCCGGUUUAUUUCUAGUUUCAUGUAUCGGGAUCAUCUCUGUUUAGUUCUUGAAUCCCUUCAUAUGAAUCUUCGUGAGGUUAUAAAGAAAUUUGGUCGUGAUAUAGGGCUGAAGCUUACUGCUGUAAGGACGUACUCAAAACAGCUUUUCAUUGCAUUGAAGCACCUAAAGGAUGGCAGUAUCCUCCAUUGUGAUAUUAAACCAGAUAAUAUACUGGUAAAUGGGUCUAGAAACUUGUUGAAACUGUGUGAUUUUGGUAGUGCUUUGCCUGCCGGAAUAAAUGAUAUCACACCAAUUCUUGUGAGCCGCUUCUACCGGGCACCUGAGAUAAUUCUUGGAUUGCCGUACGACCAUUCAUUGGAUAUGUGGUCAGUAGGCUGUUGCCUAUAUGAACUUUACACAGGAAAAAUCUUAUUUCCUGGUGGGAAGAACAAUGGCAUGCUUUGGCUUCACAUGGAAUUGAAGGGUCCAUUCCCUAAGAAGAUGCUUCGAAAGGGAGCCUUUACAACUCAACACUUUGACCAGGACCUUAAUUUCCAUGCCACUGAUGAGAAUCUGAUGAUGAAAAAGGCUGUGAACAAACUGUGUAUGAACGUUAAACCAAAGGGUGUUGGCGGAAAAAUAUCAAGCUUCGCAGGCGAGGAUCCGAAAAUGCUGUCCAGUUUUAAAGAUCUCCUGGAGAAAAUAUUUGUGCUAGAUCCGCAGAAGAGGCUUACUGUGUCACAAGCACUUAGCCACCCAUUUAUUACUGGCAAGUGA